CGAUGGGCAACCAUUGGGUAUCAUACAUGAUAUUUUCUUUGCAUCGAUGGUUUUCGAGAUAAAAUCUAAAACCACAAAGAAAUCAAAGACAGUUUAUAAAAGAUUUAGUUACGAUUAGAAAUACACCCUUUAUCUUUAUCCAUGGAUCCUUUAUUUAUACUUAUUAAUUUAGAACUUAUCCAUUUAGAAUAGAAGUAUUGAUCCAAUAAAAAAAAUUAUGUUUCGUAAUCUCAUAAUCCAAUUUUCAACUUUUCAUUGAUUCUUGGAUACAAAUGGAAACCAUAUCAAAGUAAGAUGAAGAGCAGCAAGAAAUGGGCUCUCGACCG
Molecule: long non-coding RNA, 326 nt
Filed under: Prunus persica (peach)
Lineage: Eukaryota; Viridiplantae; Streptophyta; Magnoliopsida; Rosales; Rosaceae
Description: long non-coding RNA (PPER_LNC007251)
Source: RNAcentral